UUACAGAGAAAUUAUAAGGAAGACGUCAAGACGAGUCAAAGAGAGAGCACAGCAGGAAAUUCACCAGCAGGAAACUUGUGCAUCAUAAGCAAAAAGGCAGUGGUUGAUGACUUUAAUAUCACAUAAACCUUGAGGAGUGACACGUAACAGGAUGAAUCCAACCAUCCAACCAACCAUCUCUGUCCUCCAUCAUGAUCUAAACAUUACAGUGUGGCUUCAGCAGACCAGACUUGAUGUAAUGUCAUCAUCUCCAGCUUCAUGGACCAUUUGUAUGGAGACUGAGACACCCCUAUGGAAGAGAAGCAGUCUAAAACCAUAGACAUAUAUAUACGUAGAUGCCUCAUUACUUGCUGGAGUGUAAUCCAGCGUCGCUGCCAUAUUGAAUGGGUCUUCAGUCUCUUGGCUUGCACUAGAGUCAAAUGGAAUCAAUGGAGAAUGAGCAACUAUGCCAGUAUUUUGUGCACCCUACAGUUGUAAAAAAACAACGUACUGUAGGACUACAUUUAAAAAGUCUGAUUAAAAAAUAUUUUUUUUCUUAUUUUAAUGUGUGAAAGCAUCCUGUAUCAUUGCUACGUCUCUGCUGUUUGUAACAAAUUGAACUGUGUGAACAUCGUGUUAUGAGGUAUGAUUAAUAACUCAUAUGAUUUAUAUAGUCGGGCAUAUCUGCUUACCUGGUAUCACUUCUAUCUCCUGCCCUCUGACUUCACUGAUUCAUCAGCUGUAUUUCUCCUCCAGUGUCUCCUCUGGUUUCUAAUAACUGCAGUUAGAUCAACUACAGCUCAACGUUUAUCGGCUUCAUCUCCAACAUCAUAAGCUCAGAAUCAGUCACUAUGUUUCCUGUGCACAAACAAGCAAAGAUUGCAUCAGAGUCAGAAACUGGUGAUAAGACUUGCAUUUAGGCAAAAUAUUACAGAGCAGUUCAGACACUACGAGUUUGUAGAGCACAGUGAGAUGUGAAGGUAAUUAUGGUCACAUAUAAGCGGUCUGAAUUUGUUGGCGUACGUACUGAAUAAAUGUACAUAAACUAUCGAUUUUGUCGAUUAAAACUCUGUUUCUAC
Molecule: non-coding RNA, 1058 nt
Organism: Xyrichtys novacula (pearly razorfish)
Lineage: Eukaryota; Metazoa; Chordata; Actinopteri; Labriformes; Labridae
Source: the annotation of a GenBank genome assembly